UACGUAGGGGGCAAGCGUUAUCCGGAUUUACUGGGUGUAAAGGGAGCGUAGACGGUUAAGUAAGUCUGGAGUGAAAGGCCGGGGCCCAACCCCGGGACUGCUCUGGAAACUAUUGAACUUGAGUGUUGGAGAGGCAGGCGGAAUUCCGUGUGUAGCGGUGAAAUGCGUAGAUAUACGGAGGAACACCAGUGGCGAAGGCAGCCUGCUGGACUGCAACUGACGUUGAGGCUCGAAGGCGUGGGGAGCAAACAGG
RNAcentral lists this ribosomal RNA (253 nucleotides) under uncultured Eubacteriales bacterium. RNAcentral describes it as "uncultured Clostridiales bacterium partial 16S ribosomal RNA". It matches the Rfam family "Bacterial small subunit ribosomal RNA", at positions 524 to 776 of the family's 1533-position model. The record is from RNAcentral. Lineage: Bacteria; Bacillati; Bacillota; Clostridia; Eubacteriales.